This 253-nucleotide ribosomal RNA is filed under the name uncultured bacterium. RNAcentral describes it as "partial 16S ribosomal RNA". It matches the Rfam family "Bacterial small subunit ribosomal RNA", at positions 524 to 776 of the family's 1533-position model. The record is from RNAcentral.
CACGUAGGGCGCGAGCGUUGUCCGGAAUUAUUGGGCGUAAAGAGCUCGUAGGCGGCCUGUUGCGUCCGCUGUGAAAGCCCGGGGCUUAACCCCGGGUCUGCAGUGGAUACGGGCAGGCUAGAGGUAGGUAGGGGAGAAUGGAAUUCCCGGUGUAGCGGUGAAAUGCGCAGAUAUCGGGAGGAACACCGGUGGCGAAGGCGGUUCUCUGGGCCUUACCUGACGCUGAGGAGCGAAAGCGUGGGUAGCGAACAGG